This 74-nucleotide transfer RNA is filed under the name Nanobdellota archaeon. RNAcentral's name for it is "tRNA-Ile". It matches the Rfam family "tRNA". From Rfam's summary of the family: Transfer RNA (tRNA) molecules are approximately 80 nucleotides in length. Their secondary structure includes four short double-helical elements and three loops (D, anti-codon, and T loops). Further hydrogen bonds mediate the characteristic L-shaped molecular structure. tRNAs have two regions of fundamental functional importance: the anti-codon, which is responsible for specific mRNA codon recognition, and the 3' end, to which the tRNAs corresponding amino acid is attached (by aminoacyl-tRNA synthetases). tRNAs cope with the degeneracy of the genetic code in two manners: having more than one tRNA (with a specific anti-codon) for a particular amino acid; and 'wobble' base-pairing, i.e. permitting non-standard base-pairing at the 3rd anti-codon position. The record is from RNAcentral. Lineage: Archaea; Nanobdellati; Nanobdellota.
GGGCGGGUAGCUCAGCUGGUUAGAGCACUCGACUGAUAAUCGAGAGGUCGUGAGUUCGAAUCUCAUCCUGCCCA